RNAcentral lists this long non-coding RNA (5539 nucleotides) under Sus scrofa (pig). RNAcentral describes it as "lncRNA (ENSSSCG00035018847.1)". The record is from RNAcentral. Lineage: Eukaryota; Metazoa; Chordata; Mammalia; Artiodactyla; Suidae.
AACAUCCACCAUCCUGAGGCAGAAUGGCUUUCCAAUUGCAGUACCAGGUCUUUGUGGGGCUUCCAUAGGAUAAUGCACGUAAAGCCCUUAGCUCCAGCCCAGCACAAACCAAGAGCUCCACAGACAGCAGAGUGACUUCUGACUUGAACCUGCGGUGUGCUUUGAGAGAUCCUCCACCAGAUCAUCUCAGCUUUGGUCCCUUGGAACCACCCACUAGCAGCAGUGAUAAAGUAAGUGUAUAUUUUAAAUUUUCUUUCAAUCAGCUAUAAAUGGAAAUCUCAGUUUUGCUCAGUGGUUUUCACCAGAGACAGUUUCAUUCAGCUACAUUAUCAGUGAAUGGUAGUAUAAUAAAUGGGAGUUUUAUAUAUAGGAAAGAUAAUAAACCUCUUUAAAAUAUGUGAAAAGGAUAAUGCAUAGAAAUGAAAUACAUAAACACUGCUUAUCAAUCUUGAAUACUACAUGUAGCAUAACAGAGUAUAUUUGCAGCCACCGAAUGGAGUGGUUUUUAUCUUCAUCCCGGGCAGCUGCCAGAAUCCUCUCAUGGGGCACAUUACAACAGCCUCUUCCUCUGUUUUUAAAUAGGGCCAUAACCCAAGAAGUGUCUCAAAUGGCAUUAAGCACCAGUUAACAUCUAGCAGAGUUUAGUACUUAAUGCACAUAUAAUAGAAAUGUGGUGGGGAAUGAAGGGGUGGAUUAAUUAAUUCAUGAACUUCUUCUCUGUGAGGUCCUCACCAGUAAGAGGUAAUGUGGUGCCACUGGGUGGUGCCCCAAAUCUGGAGCUAGAUGCUUGAGUUCAGCUCCUGGCUCUGCACUCACUAGCUGCAUGACUUUGGUCCAAAUCUUUCAGUACCUGGGGUUUUCCAUCCUUAAAAUGGGGCUAAUAACACUACCUCUCUUGUUGUUGUUAUGAAGUUACUGUAAGAAUUAAACGAAUGAAUAUUUACAUAAUGCUUAAAAUAAUGCCUAGCACAUCAUAAUCUAUAAAAUGUUUGUUGAAUACAUGAAAUAUUGAGGUAUUCUGAGGCCUUAUAUUUAAGAGACCAAAAAACUUGUUUGACCUAGAUGCAAUGAUGCUCCAGUAGCAAGAAAUGUACCUACUGCCCAAAUCCUGGUUUCAGUAUGAUUUCCCAGUGAAAAGAACCAGAGAAAUAGCUGAUUGAGGACUGGCACAAAAAAUAUGCAAAAUGAGCCUGGAGUCUCUUACAGAGCCAGAAGGUAAAAGAAGAAAGAUAAAACAAAAGCAAAAAACAUCUCAUAAUGGUGAAUGUGACACAAUGUGUGUCAAAAGAACACAGGAGCCAACUGAAGGAACACCCAGUGGUCAAAGCUUGAACAAUCUGAGCCACAAAAUAAAUAAGCGGUAUUGAGAUAUAAGCCAAGUCUGAUAAAAUAAAUAUCUAUUUAUAUGUGUAUGCAUAAAUAUGUAUAUUUAUAUACACAUAAAAUACAUAAAAAUGUGUGUAUAUAUAUGCAUACACACACACACACAUAUAUAUAUACACACAUACACAUAUAUAUGACUGGAUAAAUACAUGAGGAAAAUAGACAAAUUCUUAUGCAGAAGAAUUCCACAUAAUGUAAGUGGAUACUCAGGAAGUAAAAAACAUAACUCUGGAUGGGGUUUCACAUAAUUUCUUUCUUCCAAAGAGUAUAGUGUGGAAAGAAGUCAAUGAAAUAACAACUCUCAGUAGAGAAACCUGACAAACACUACCUCAAGCCAGGUAAUCCAGGUGAAUAUAAAUGGUGAUGUGUCGUAUUGAUAUAGGUAGGCAUCCUUCACAUGAUGUGAUGAGAAUGGCACUUGACCUCUGUCAUCUUCCUCCCAAAACAUACUACCCUAAUCUGAUCAUGAGAAAAACAUAAGACAAUCUCAGUAAAGGUGCAUCUUAUGAAACACCUGACCAGCCCUCAAAACUGUCAAGGUUAUCAAAAGCAAAGAAAGCCUGAGAAACUACCACAACCAAGAAAAGCCUAAGGAAACUGGACGAUUAACUAUAAGGUGGUUUCUUAGAAGGGAUCCUGGGACAGAAAAAGGACUUUAGGUACAGACUAAGGAAAUCUGAAUAAAGUAUGGAGUUUCGUUAAUAAUAAUGUAUCAUUGUUUGUUCAUCAAUUGUGAAAAAUGUACCAUCCUAACAUAGGAGAUAACCACAGUGGAAACUGGGAUUGGGGUUUACAACAAUUCUCUGUAGCAGCGUCACAACAGUUCUGCAAGUCGGGAACUCUUCAAAAACCAUUUUUAAAAAUGAAGGCUGCAGGUAGAAAAAAACGGUUUGAAGGUAUACUCUCCAAUUUUCAAGUACCAAGAUAACGGUAUUUUGAAAAAUGUUGAAUUCAACGAAUUUAUGUUUUGAGACUUAUAAAUGGAGAGUUAUAUUUCACAUUCAAGGUUUGAAUUGGAUAGAGGUGUACCUAUCAAUAGAGCAUUCAGUUAUAUUUCAGCUCUCCUCAAAUGGAGGGAAAAAAUAGCACUGGCAGCACAAGCCUUUUUUUUUUGCAAGAAUAAUUAUUACUGGAGUUCAAAGUGGAUUCUCAUAUAUGCAUUAGCCAUAUAUUGCAGCCUAACACAUUACCAUACCCUUAGUGGCUUCAAAUAGCGUAGCAUCAUUAUUCCACAGUUUCGGUGGAUCAGGAAUCUGAGUGUAUCUUAGCUGGGUCCUCUACUUAGGGUCUCAUGAGGAUAUAAUCAAGAUGUUGGCUGGGCUGUGUUCCUUUCUGGAGCUUGUUUUUUUUUCUCCUAGGUUCACAGGGUCGUUGGUGGAAUUCACUUGAGGUUGUAGGACUGAGGUCCCUUGUUUUCUUGCAGGUGGUCACCUGGGGUGCUCUCACCUCCCAGGCCGUCUUCAUGAUGUCUUGCCCUGUGGCCAUUGGCCUCUCACAGACCUUGUCACAACCUGGCUGCUGACUUCAAAGCCAACAGGAGGCUCUCUGACCUCUGUCUGCUAGGACAGAGGCUUAUAUAGUGUACUCUCAUCCAGGGAGUGCCUGGCUCACAUGGCUUUGCUGUACUCUAUUGGCUGGGAGCAAGUCACAGUUUGUGCCCGCAUUCAAGGGGAACAGAUUGUGCCCUAUCCCAGGGUGUGACUCACUGGGCAGUCGCUAGGGUAUGGCCACUACCACAGGAGGGUUUUGAAACAGACCGAAGCAGCUGAGCAUCCAGGAGCAAAGUAAGUAAGAGGAGAACAGGUCAGAAAUGCUUGCCUCUUGCCUUCAAGCAAACUAUAGCUUGAAGUAACUAAAUAUGAUAUCCCUCCACCACCCCUCUUUCUGCUCUCCCCGCAAAUAAGCAGCAUUGUUUAACUUGUAGGAAUAUUUUUAAACUUUGAGGAAUAUUUGAAGAUGAAGGAGGCAGAGAAAAAUACUUGGAGAGAGUUCAUAAAUACCUCACCAUUUUCCUGACAAGGGUGAUUUUCCUCCUUAGCAGUGAAGAAAUUUGCACAAAAUAUGUUCUCAGCUCAGUGACAACAUCAUUUAUGCACUUUGAGAAUUCUCAUGAUAAAAGUUCAAAUAAUAGGAUCUUAUUUUCUUUUUCUUUUUUUUCUCCUUUUCUAGGGUCACUCCCGUGGCACAUGGAGGUACCCUGGCUAGGGGUUGAAUCGGAGCUGUUGCUGCUGGCCUACACUACAGCCACAGCAACACCAGAUCUGAGCUGCGUCUGCGACCUACACCACAGCUAAUGGCAGCACUGGAUCCUUAACCCACUGUGUGAGGCCAGGGAUUGAACCCACACCCUAAUGGUUCCUAGUCAGACUUGUUAACCACCACGCCACUAUGGGAACUCCACAGACCUCAUUUUCAAAGUUUCAUGACUUAGUUUCUUUUUUCAUUUUUGAGACUCUUGCAUUUUUAAAUAUUUAAUGUUUUUAACUUGUCUAGUAAUUAAUAGAAUGAUAACUGUUUAGCUUAAAUUUUUUACCUUUUCCAUGAGGCUUAUAAAUUUGAUAUUUCUUAAGUAUCCAUUUUCACUGAUUUCUUCUUACGGGUUCUGAAUCCUUUUCUUAUAAAAUAUUAACUAUAGAAAUUCUGCUCUUGUCAUUUUGCUGCAGUAUUAUCAUCAUCCCCUAGAUUCUCAGAAACUCUUUUUUUUUUUUUUCCUGAUUGUUCCUUAUAACACUAAAACAUCCCAGAAAUCCUAACGUUUAGUCAUUGGAACUGCAUUUGCCAAGUUGCUGCUUGCAUCUGGAAAUAAAACACAAGCAUCCUUUGUGAGACCCUGCGUCUAAAUUGUGGGUUUGGAUAAUGUGAUCCCUGUCCGUGCAUCUCCGUGGAGGUUAAUACAAACCUAUUAGCCGAUUGAACCAGAGACCUUUGUUGUCUGUGUCUCAGAUAUGCAGCCACCCUGAAGAAAAUGGGCAACUUGUGGAAAUGAAGCUUACUAGCAGCCACGCUGACAUGAAAAGAAAAUACCUAUUCUUAGAAUUUUGUCAAGAAACUCAAAGGAGAAACGAUUUCUUGUGGAUCCUCCUCCCCCACCCUUCACUUCUUUUUCUGCCUCUAUUUUUCUUUUUUCUUCUCACUCACAACUAAGCCUUGGACUGUGGCUGUUAGUUUCUCUUAUGCCAAGGGGUACAAACGGUUGCUCUUCAGAAUGGCGAGAACAUAAACAAUUGUAGCUCUUGGUAAAACAACUCAUUUAGCAAAUAAAGGUCAAAGCUUGCCUGCUUGCUUCCUUCCUUUCUUGGGGUUAUUUUCUUUGUAGGAAUUAAAGAAAGGGAUCUCUUUGAAAAUAUAGAAUAAGUUAGAGCAAAUAGAAGUAACCUUUUCUGCUUGUGAAGGAAGUAUUAAGUGAAAACCCAGAAGAAGAGCAUUUGUCUUUGGCUGGAAGGUCACAGGAUAAAACGAUUCUUUAUCGGAGCUGAAUCCGAGGGAAGGUCUUGGAAUUUGCUAAUGUUGCUGGCCUGUGCUGACCAUCAGAUCUCUUUGCCCAGGUUUUAGAGGGAUUUAGACUUGCCUGAUAAUUUCACCAGAUUUAUUUACUGGGUAUCUUCCUAUAUGUCUUUGUAUUUUUUUCAUCUAUUACCAAAAUUCUGGAUUUAUGUAAAAUAUGAUUGGAGCAACCAAUAGAUCUUUUUAUCAAAAGACCUGGAUUUAAUUUGAAGUAGUUUAUUUUCUAAAUAGUAUCUCUGUACAUGAUGUCUGUCUUGAGAUUUUGUUUCUAAGCCAUUCUAACAUCAUUUUGCAUCAUCGUGAGCAAAUCUAAGUUGGAUUUCCCUGUUUGGGAGUACCGAGGUAGUAAUCGGUUGUGGUCCUUUGGGUCUUCUAUUGGCAUAAGAUGGGUAUUCACAGGAGUUCCUAUCGUGGUGCAUCGGAAAUGAAUCUGACUAGGAACCAUGAGGUUGCAGGUUCGAUCCCUGGCCUCGCUCAGUGGGUUAAGGCUCUGGCAUUGCCUUGAGCUGUGGUGUAGGUUGCGGAUGUGGCUCAGAUCUGGCGUUGCUGUGCCUGUGGUGUAGGCUGGCAGCUGUAGCUCCAAUUAGACCCCUAGCCUGGGAACCUCCAUAUGCCUUGGGCAUGGCCCUAAAAAGUUAAAAAAAAAAAAAAA